CACUCCUGCGGGAGGCAGCAGUGGGGAAUAUUGGACAAUGGGCGCAAGCCUGAUCCAGCCAUGCCGCGUGAGUGAUGAAGGCCCUAGGGUUGUAAAGCUCUUUCACCGGUGAAGAUAAUGACGGUAACCGGAGAAGAAGCCCCGGCUAACUUCGUGCCAGCAGCCGCGGUAAUACGAAGGGGGCUAGCGUUGUUCGGAUUUACUGGGCGUAAAGCGCACGUAGGCGGACUAUUAAGUCAGGGGUGAAAUCCCGGGGCUCAACCCCGGAACUGCCUUUGAUACUGGUAGUCUUGAGUUCGAGAGAGGUGAGUGGAAUUCCGAGUGUAGAGGUGAAAUUCGUAGAUAUUCGGAGGAACACCAGUGGCGAAGGCGGCUCACUGGCUCGAUACUGACGCUGAGGUGCGAAAGCGUGGGGAGCAAACAGGAUUAGAAACCCCGGUAGUCCC
RNAcentral lists this ribosomal RNA (446 nucleotides) under uncultured organism. Its description in RNAcentral is "partial 16S ribosomal RNA". It matches the Rfam family "Bacterial small subunit ribosomal RNA", at positions 334 to 797 of the family's 1533-position model. The record is from RNAcentral.